UACAGAGGUCCCAAGCGUUGUUCGGAUUCAUUGGGCGUAAAGGGUGUGUAGGUGGCGCCGUAAGUCGGGUGUGAAAUUUCGGAGCUUAACUCCGAAACUGCAUUCGAUACUGCGGUGCUUGAGGACUGGAGAGGAGACUGGAAUUCAUGGUGUAGCAGUGAAAUGCGUAGAGAUCGUAAGGAAGACCAGUGGCGAAGGCGGGUCUCUGGACAGUUCCUGACGCUGAGGCACGAAGGCCAGGGGAGCAAACGGG
Molecule: ribosomal RNA, 253 nt
Filed under: uncultured bacterium
Lineage: Bacteria
Description: partial 16S ribosomal RNA
Rfam family: Bacterial small subunit ribosomal RNA
Source: RNAcentral